GCGUGCCCGUGGCUUCGGCCACAAUGGGAAAGCGGCAGACGGCUGAGUAACGCGUGAGUAACCUACCCUCUGGUGGGGUAUAGCCGCGAGAAAUCGCGAUUAAUCCCGCAUAAGAUCCCCAAGCCCUGGUUUGGGGAUGAGAGCCUUCGGGCGCCGGAGGAGGGGCUCGCGUCCUAUCAGGUAGUUGGUGGGGUAAAAGCCUACCAAGCCGAUGACGGGUAGCUGGUCUGAGAGGACGACCAGCCAGAGGGGGACUGAGACACGGCCCCCACUCCUACGGGAGGCAGCAGCAGGGAAUCUUGGGCAAUGGGCGAAAGCCUGACCCAGCGACGUCGCGUGGAGGAAGAAGGCUCUAGGGCUGUAAACUCCUUUUCCAGGGGAAGAGUAAGGACGGUACCUUGGGAAUAAGCUCCGGCUAACUACGUGCCAGCAGCCGCGGUAAUACGUAGGGAGCGAGCGUUACCCGGAAUUACUGGGCGUAAAGUGCGCGUAGGCGGCUUGGUAAGUCUCUUUUGAAAGCUCCCGGCUUAACUGGGAGAGGUGAGGGGAAACUACCUGGCUUGAGGGCAGUAGAGGAAAGCGGAAUUCCCGGUGUAGCGGUGAAAUGCGUAGAUAUCGGGAGGAAUACCAGUGGCGAAAGCGGCUUUCUGGGCUGCACCUGACGCUGAGGCGCGAAAGCGUGGGGAGCGAACCGGAUUAGAUACCCUGGUAGUC
RNAcentral lists this ribosomal RNA (714 nucleotides) under uncultured soil bacterium. Its description in RNAcentral is "bacterial SSU rRNA". It matches the Rfam family "Bacterial small subunit ribosomal RNA", at positions 66 to 795 of the family's 1533-position model. The record is from RNAcentral.